UGCGCAGGCGGUUGUGCGAGACAGAUGUGAAAUCCCCGGGCUUAACCUGGGAAUGGCAUUUGUGACUGCACGGCUAGAGUGUGUCAGAGGGGGGUAGAAUUCCACGUGUAGCAGUGAAAUGCGUAGAUAUGUGGAGGAAUACCGAUGGCGAAGGCAGCCCCCUGGGAUAACACUGACGCUCACGCACGAAAGCGUGGGGAGCAAACAGGAUUAGAUACCCUGGUAGUCCACGCCCUAAACGAUGUCAACUAGUUGUCGGGUCUUAAUUGACUUGGUAACGCAGCUAACGCGUGAAGUUGACCGCCUGGGGAGUACGGUCGCAAGAUUAAAA
Molecule: ribosomal RNA, 331 nt
Filed under: uncultured bacterium
Lineage: Bacteria
Description: bacterial SSU rRNA
Rfam family: Bacterial small subunit ribosomal RNA
Source: RNAcentral